UCUCCGCUGGUGAACCAGCGGAGGGAUCAUUACCGAGUUUACAACUCCCAAACCCCUAUGUGAACGUUACCAAACUGUUGCCUCGGCGGGAAAUUCAUGCCCCGGGCGCGUCGCAGCCCCGGACCAAGGCGCCCGCCGGAGGACCAACCAAAACUCUUUUGUAUGUCCCUCGCGGACUUUUAUAAUUCUGAACCAUCUCGGCGCCCCUAGCGGGCGUUUCGAAAAUGAAUCAAAACUUUCAACAACGGAUCUCUUGGUUCUGGCAUCAAUGAAGAACGCAGC
This 282-nucleotide unclassified non-coding RNA is filed under the name plant metagenome. RNAcentral describes it as "partial contains small subunit ribosomal RNA, internal transcribed spacer 1, and 5.8S ribosomal RNA". The stretch from base 234 to 282 matches the Rfam family "5.8S ribosomal RNA", at positions 1 to 49 of the family's 154-position model. The record is from RNAcentral.